This 459-nucleotide ribosomal RNA is filed under the name uncultured bacterium. RNAcentral's name for it is "partial 16S ribosomal RNA". It matches the Rfam family "Bacterial small subunit ribosomal RNA", at positions 338 to 795 of the family's 1533-position model. The record is from RNAcentral.
GCUAGGGCGGCAGCAGUGAGGAAUAUUGGUCAAUGGGCUUACGCCUGAACCAGCCAAGUCGCGUGAGGGAAGACUGCCCUAUGGGUUGUAAACCUCUUUUGUCAGGGAGCAACGCCGGCUACGUGUAGCCGGACUGAGAGUACCUGCAGAAAAAGCAUCGGCUAACUCCGUGCCAGCAGCCGCGGUAAUACGUAGGGAGCGAGCGUUGUCCGGAAUUACUGGGUGUAAAGGGAGCGUAGGCGGGCGAGAAAGUUGAAUGUUAAAUCUACCGGCUUAACUGGUAGCUGCGUUCAAAACUUCUUGUCUUGAGUGAAGUAGAGGCAGGCGGAAUUCCUAGUGUAGCGGUGAAAUGCGUAGAUAUUAGGAGGAACACCAGUGGCGAAGGCGGCCUGCUGGGCUUUAACUGACGCUGAGGCUCGAAAGCGUGGGGAGCAAACAGGAUUAGAUACCCUAGUAGUC